Molecule: ribosomal RNA, 252 nt
Filed under: uncultured bacterium
Lineage: Bacteria
Description: partial 16S ribosomal RNA
Rfam family: Bacterial small subunit ribosomal RNA
Source: RNAcentral
UACGGAGGAUGCAAGCGUUAUCCGGAAUGAUUGGGCGUAAAGCGUCCGUAGGUGGCAAUGUAAGUCUGCUGUUAAAGAGUCUAGCUCAACUAGAUAAAAGCAGUGGAAACUACAUAGCUAGAGUACGUUCGGGGCAGAGGGAUUCCUGGUGUAGCGGUGAAAUGCGUAGAGAUCAGGAAGAACACCAGUGGCGAAGGCGCUCUGCUAGGCCGUAACUGACACUGAGGGACGAAAGCUAGGGGAGCGAAUGGG